GCCGGGUGCGGUGGCAUGUGACUGUAAUCCAAGUCACUGGGAGGCUGAGGUUGGUGGAUCAAGUGAGCUGAUGAGCUCUGGGCUGCAGCACACUAUGUUGAACGGGUGUCCACGCUAAGUUCGGUAUCGAUAUGGUGUUCCUGGGGGAGCCCGGGACCACCAGGUUGUCUAAAGGAGGGGUGAACCGGCCCAGGUCGGAAACGAAGCAGGUCAAAUCCCCCGUGCUGUCCAGUAGUGGGAUAAUACCUGUGAGUAGAUGCUGCAGCGCAGCCUUGGCAAAACAUUGAGACCUAAUCUUUU
This is an unclassified non-coding RNA of Oncorhynchus mykiss (rainbow trout), 300 nucleotides long. It matches the Rfam family "Metazoan signal recognition particle RNA". Rfam says of the family: The signal recognition particle (SRP) is a universally conserved ribonucleoprotein. It is involved in the co-translational targeting of proteins to membranes. The eukaryotic SRP consists of a 300-nucleotide 7S RNA and six proteins: SRPs 72, 68, 54, 19, 14, and 9. NCBI's taxonomy places the organism in Eukaryota, Metazoa, Chordata, Actinopteri, Salmoniformes, Salmonidae. The record is from Ensembl.